This 72-nucleotide transfer RNA is filed under the name Camelus bactrianus (Bactrian camel). It matches the Rfam family "tRNA". Rfam says of the family: Transfer RNA (tRNA) molecules are approximately 80 nucleotides in length. Their secondary structure includes four short double-helical elements and three loops (D, anti-codon, and T loops). Lineage: Eukaryota; Metazoa; Chordata; Mammalia; Artiodactyla; Camelidae. RNAcentral also lists the same sequence under 2 other names. The record is from Rfam by way of RNAcentral.
GAGGGUAUAGCUCAGUGGUAGAGCGCAUGCCUAGCAUGGACAAGGUCCUGGGUUCAAUUCCUGGCACCUCCA